UACGGAGGAUCCAAGCGUUAUCCGGAUUUACUGGGUUUAAAGGGUGCGUAGGCGGAAGCUUAAGUCAGUGGUGAAAUCUCAUCGCUUAACGAUGAAACUGCCAUUGAUACUGGGCAUCUUGAAUAUGGUUAACGUUGGCGGAAUGUGUCAUGUAGUGGUGAAAUACUUAGAUAUGACACAGAACACCGAUAGCGAAGGCAGCUAACGGAGCCAUUAUUGACGCUGAGGCACGAAAGCGUGGGGAUCAAACAGG
RNAcentral lists this ribosomal RNA (253 nucleotides) under uncultured bacterium. RNAcentral's name for it is "partial 16S ribosomal RNA". It matches the Rfam family "Bacterial small subunit ribosomal RNA", at positions 524 to 776 of the family's 1533-position model. The record is from RNAcentral.